This 429-nucleotide ribosomal RNA is filed under the name Bacteroidota bacterium. RNAcentral's name for it is "Bacteroidetes bacterium partial 16S ribosomal RNA". It matches the Rfam family "Bacterial small subunit ribosomal RNA", at positions 355 to 776 of the family's 1533-position model. The record is from RNAcentral. Lineage: Bacteria; Pseudomonadati; Bacteroidota.
UAGGGAAUCUUCGGCAAUGGGGGGAACCCUGACCGAGCAACGCCGCGUGAGUGAAGAAGGUUUUCGGAUCGUAAAGCUCUGCUGUUAAGGAAGAACGAGUGUGAGAAUGGAAAGUUCAUGCUGUGACGGUACUUAACCAGAAAGGGACGGCUAACUACGUGCCAGCAGCCGCGGUAAUACGUAGGUCCCGAGCGUUGUCCGGAUUUAUUGGGCGUAAAGCGAGCGCAGGCGGUUAGAAAAGUCUGAAGUGAAAGGCAGUGGCUCAACCAUUGUAUGCUUUGGAAACUGUUUAACUUGAGUGCAGAAGGGGAGAGUGGAAUUCCAUGUGUAGCGGUGAAAUGCGUAGAUAUAUGGAGGAACACCGGUGGCGAAAGCGGCUCUCUGGUCUGUAACUGACGCUGAGGCUCGAAAGCGUGGGGAGCGAACAGG